ACUGGAAACUGUGAAGUACGAACCGAGACACUCGCCGUCUCGCUCUCUCCCUGGAACCACGCUGGAAUCCAGCCAGUGCCGUUUCUCUUACGCCCUGAUCCUAGCAGCGAAUUGAGCUUUGCGAUCUCCUGAACGUUUUCCCGCCUGGAAAAUCUGCUAGUGAGAUUGAAGCUAUCAGUAGAAACAAAAGUAAACAAAAAUUCUGCUCUGGAAAAAAAAAAA
Long non-coding RNA from Macrobrachium nipponense, 222 nucleotides. RefSeq lists it as uncharacterized. The transcript is spliced from 2 exons. The record is from RefSeq and is a predicted model, not a curated record. Lineage: Eukaryota; Metazoa; Arthropoda; Malacostraca; Decapoda; Palaemonidae.